Molecule: unclassified non-coding RNA, 241 nt
Filed under: plant metagenome
Description: partial contains small subunit ribosomal RNA, internal transcribed spacer 1, and 5.8S ribosomal RNA
Source: RNAcentral
UUUCCGUAGGUGAACCUGCGGAAGGAUCAUUAAAGAGUAAGGGUCUUCGGGCCCGAUCUCCAACCCUUUGUAUAACUACCAUGUUGCUUUGGCGGGCCCGUCUCACGACCGCCGGAAGUUUGGCUUCGACCAAACUUCUGGCCCGUGCCCGUCAGUGGCCCCUUCAAAUUCUUGAUCAAGUAUGAUGUCUUAGUUAAAAACUUAAUAGUUAAAACUUUCAACAACGGAUCUCUUGGUUCUG